GCUAUUUUUCAAAUAGAUAUAGGCUUAGAACGUGAUAAUGGAUGGAGAGAUCAACGUUGUACUAAUAAGAACUCGCAUGGAUCUUUUCGAAGAACGGAAAUGUGAGUGUCAGAUAGUACAUAUAUUU
Molecule: small nucleolar RNA, 127 nt
Filed under: Pichia kudriavzevii
Lineage: Eukaryota; Fungi; Ascomycota; Pichiomycetes; Pichiales; Pichiaceae
Source: RNAcentral